Molecule: long non-coding RNA, 2244 nt
Filed under: Homo sapiens (human)
Lineage: Eukaryota; Metazoa; Chordata; Mammalia; Primates; Hominidae
Description: HSALNT0234581
Source: RNAcentral
GAGAGAAACUCGCAAAGGUUAUGCAGUGGAAAAUCAGAGACUUGUUCCGGACGGGUGUUUGGGUUCUUAUUUUUCCCACCGAGUUUGUGGUGUUGAGUUCAACAGCCAUGCUAGGAAAGCCAGAAGACUGAAAUUCCACAACCUGUGGUAGAUGUUUAAACCCGAAGAGGGUGACGUGUCCCUGAAUUCCUUUUCUGCAGGCCACCUCACCUCCGCUGUAGGUGGAGCAGGUCUGGAAUUGGAGGUAGGGUGCUUGGCAAAGCCUUGUGUGGGCCACUCACUGAGUGCCAAGCGUGACCAAGGUCGUCCAUGCUCAUUCUCUCGUGGCUGUUAGGACUUGACUCAGAAAGUGUUUUCCUCCCCGGUCCCCCAUGUAAAAUUUCUCCCUCCCUCGCAUUCCUGCAACGUAUUUCGUUUCCCUUCCCUGGUUUACUCCUUGCCACAUCUCACGUCUCACCUGUAUCCUUCACUUACCCCGUUGACUAUUCCUCAUCGGAAUGCAAGCCUCACAAAAGGCAGGGGGUUUUGUUGGUGUUGUUCACUGUGUCCCCACUGCCUGUCCAAAAGUAGGCACUCAUGUGAAUAGCCACUGCAUGCCAGCCUGGGCAACAGAGUGAGACCCUGCCUCUAAAAAGAAGUAGUCAUCUGGCCAGACAAACAGGACCAGAGAGGUUGAGCAGUGUGCUCCCGGUCACACAGUGAAGAGGUGGAGAGCCAGGAUGCCGCCCCAAAUGUGCCUUGAACUUCUUAGCUGCUGUUAUACCCCCUCGUAGACUCACUUCAUCCUCACCACCCUGUGAAAUCUCUUUGUACAGCUGCAGAAACUGAGAGUCAGAUGUAAGCCAUUGACCAAAUGAAGUACAGGAGCAGAGCCAGCUGGCAGGUGAGCAACACUAGGCUAUGAAAGCUCUGCCGUUUCGGCUGCGCCACACCCCUCUGGAAAGAGCCCACAAUCCUAGCUCUGUGCCAAGCCAGCCUCCUCGAGGGCUUGCCUUAGGCACGGGUCUCCUACAGUGGGUACCAUGACCACAUCCACUGAGUCCUUCAGAAGCAAGCCCCUGCCCAUUUGUCCUCAGGCUACAAUAACCCAGUCCUCAUCUUGUCUACCUUCUCCCUGCGAUCCUGGUUUUAAACUCAUAUUUAUUCAUUCAACAAGUGUACCUGGUACCAUGCUAAGUGCUGCAGACACAUGAGUGAGCAAAGCUAGGCAAAGCUCCUGCCUGUUAUGGAGCUUAGAGUCCAUUUUCACAAAUGCAUAAUUGCAAACGUGUUUCUGUGGAGGAAGAUGAUAUUAUUUGCUGAGAUGAUACACCCAGGACUCUGACUUGGUCUGGAGGUCACAUGCAGGGAUUCCUUUAGGAUGUGACAUGUGAAAGACAUGGAUAUUUGUUGAGCAAAGGAGCUUGAGGUCAAAGGAAGUGGGUUCUGGGCAAAGGGACACGCAGGCAGGUCCUACAGUAGAAAGGAGCAUGGAUUCUUUAAGGCCCUGCGAGGGUCAGUGUGUGGAGGGCAAGGGGAAGCGGUUCGAGACCACACAGAAAGCUUGGAAGGGCCAGGUCAUGCUGGGCCCUAGCAACAGGUGAAGGACGCUGGCAUAUGUGAGGGGCAGAGGAAAGCCACUGAAGGACUGGAGCACAUUUGUGGUUUUUAAAGGUCACUCCAGGCCAGGCACAGAAGCUCACAUCUGUAAUCCCAGCAUUUUGGGAGGCUGAGCGGGGAGGAUUACCUGAGCCCAGAAGUUUGAGACCAGUCUGGGCAACAUAGUGAGUCCCCAUCUCAACAAAAAAUACAAAAAUUAGCCAGUUAAGGUGGCACACACCUGUAGUGCCAGCUACUCAGGAGGCUGAGGUGGGAGGAUCGCUUGAGCCCAGGAGGUCAAGGCUGCAGUAAGCCGUGAUCACACCACUGCACUCCAGCCUAAGUGACAGAGCAAGACCCUCUCUUAAAAAAAAAUUAAAAAUUAAAAAAGGGGGGGGUGCACAGUGGCUCACACCUGUAAUCCCAGCACUUUGGGAGGCCGAGGUGGGCGGAUCACAAGGUCAAGAGAUGGAGACCAUCCUGGCCAACAUGGUAAAACCUUGUCUGUACUAAAAAUACAAAAAUUAGUUGGGUGUGGUGGCGCACACCUUUAGUCCCAGCUAUUCAGGAGGCUGAGGCAGAAGAAUCGUUUGAACCCAGGAGGCGGAGAUUGCAGUGAGCCAAGAUUAUGCCACUGCACUCCAGCCUGGUGACAGAGCGAGACUC